RNAcentral lists this ribosomal RNA (250 nucleotides) under uncultured bacterium. RNAcentral describes it as "partial 16S ribosomal RNA". It matches the Rfam family "Bacterial small subunit ribosomal RNA", at positions 524 to 773 of the family's 1533-position model. The record is from RNAcentral.
UACAGAGGUGGCAAGCGUUGUUCGGAAUUACUGGGCGUAAAGGGCGCGUAGGCGGUUCGUUAAGUCCUGUGUGAAAUCCCCCGGCUCAACUGGGGAAUUGCACAGGAAACUAGCGGGCUUGAGUUCGGGAGAGGGAAGCGGAAUUCCGGGUGUAGCGGUGAAAUGCGUAGAUAUCCGGAGGAACACCGGUGGCGAAGGCGGCUUCCUGGACCGACACUGACGCUGAGGCGCGAAAGCUAGGGGAGCAAAC